Molecule: non-coding RNA, 4079 nt
Organism: Corylus avellana
Lineage: Eukaryota; Viridiplantae; Streptophyta; Magnoliopsida; Fagales; Betulaceae
Source: RefSeq, a predicted model, not a curated record
AAACGACCUGCUCAGCUGCUCUGGUUAUUCGUCAUAAUCUUCGUUUAGAAUGGGAAGGCCAGCGUCCAAGAUCGAAGUCCCCGAGAGACGACACCGUUCCAACGGCCGGUACACACCGGACUCCGACUACAACCGUCACCGGCGCAGCCCCAGCUACGACGUCUACGACUGCCACGAUAACCACCAGCGCCGCCGGCUCCGCUCUCCCGACAGAAGCCCAAGCCCAAACCCUAGACGAAGCCCCAACAAAGCCUUGGACGACGCGUUGCCCAAGCGAUUCGGCCGGCCUUACCUCGACCGCGACCACCGGAGCGGGACGCGCUCGGACUCGGAGUCCGACGAGGAACUAAAGGGCCUGACCUAUGAGGAGUACCGGAGGCUCAAAAGGCAGAAGAUGCGGAAGGCACUGAAGCAUUGUAUUUGGAACGUGACGCCGAGCCCGCCGAGGAACGAGAACGAUGAGUUGGAGGAGACGGAGGAGGAGAAAGCCGAGGAGAUCUCGGACAAGUACGGUGGAGAUAGCGGGGGAAUGAGCGAUUCGAGCUUCAAAGAGAAAGAAAAAGAGAGUAAUCGGAAAAGGAAAUCCGACUCCGAGUCUGAAGAAUCGGAGAUCGAGUCCGAAUUCGAUGAUUCCCGGUCGAGAGGGAAGAGGAAAAGUUCAAUUUCUAAGCGUAGAAAUAGAAAAUACGAAUCGGACGAGAGCGAGAGCGAGACUGAAUCUGAGGAAGAUCGAAAGCUUAGAAAGAAAUCAAGGAAAACGAGUACUCGCAGUAGUAGGAGGAGCAAGAGAAGUAGUAGUAGUAAAAGAAGAAGAAGAAAAAGGAGUAGGCAUAGCAGCGAUCCAGACGAGAUCGAGGAGAAUUCUGAUGCGAGUGAUCGAGUCAGGUCGAAGAAAAAGCGGUCUUUGAGCGCGAAUUCUGAUUCUGAGGUUGAAGAAAUGAGUAAGGUGAAGGCAGAGGAGGCAAAAACGGUUGCCGAAAUCGAUGUAGAGGCAUUGCUGUUUAAGGAAAUGAUUGAGGCGCAGAAGAAGCAACCGCCGGCUUUGGAUAACGAACAGGUGGUUGGGCCAAUGCCGCUGCCAAGAGCCGAAGGGCAUAUUAGCUACGGUGGGGCGCUUAGGCCCGGAGAAGGUGAUGCCAUUGCGCAGUAUGUGCAGCAAGGGAAGCGUAUCCCAAGAAGAGGUGAGGUCGGUCUCUCUGCGGAGGAGAUUCAGAAGUUUGAGACUCUCGGGUAUGUGAUGAGUGGUAGUAGGCACCAGAGGAUGAAUGCCAUUCGUAUUAGGAAGGAAAACCAGGUUUAUAGUGCCGAGGAUAAGAGGGCAUUGGCGAUGUUUAAUUACGAAGAGAAGGCGAAGCGUGAGCACAAGGUUAUGGCUGAUUUGCAGCGGUUAGUGCAGCGUCAUAUAGGGCAGGAUGUCGGUCCUACUCAUGAUCCCUUUAGUGCAAAGGCCUCAUCAGAUGUUGCUGAUGCUUGAUUUUACGUAUGUGGUUGGUAUCUCUACCAUUUUGCUCUUGUGUACUCAUGUAUUUUCUUAUGGUAUUCGGUUCGAUUAUUGUGUUUGAAUGUCACUUUUAAUUAUAUACUUCGGGUGAGUCUCUGUCUACUUGUGGACCAAAUACUUGUGCUUGUUAAAAAUAAAAAUAAAAAGCUAUCCCAAAAACAAGGCAUUGAAGGGAUGAACUAAUUACUACAUUUUAGUCCGUCCAUUGUGAAUCUUUUGUGGAAUUAAUUGUUGGAAUUGGAUUUGGUAGGUGAAAUUCAGUAAAUUGUCAAUCAAAUAGAUGCUAAAUGAUCUAGAAUUUUCCUUGUUCCUGCAGUUUAGUGUUUUGGACUAUUAGAUGGUGUUUAAUUUGAAAGAUCCUUUUCUUUGUAGAGUUUAGAGACUUUUAUAUGUCAGAAUUAAUAAUAGUUUUGCAAUAAACAAGUGUGGAAAUAGGCUGAGAAUUUGCGCUCCAUAUAUUGAGGAAUUUGAAACAUGUAUAGCAUGGUAGUAGGCACCAGAGGAUGAAUGCCAUUCGUAUUAGGAAGGAAAACCAAGUUUAUAGUGACGAGGAUAAGAGGGCAUUGGCAAUGUUUAAUUACGAAGAGAAGGCAAAGCGUGAGCACAAGGUUAUGGCUGAUUUGCAGCGGUUAGUGCAGUGUCAUACAGGGCAGGAUGUCGGUCCUACUCAUGAUUCCUUUGGUGCAAAGGCCUCAUCAGAUGUUGCUGAUGCUUGAUUUUACGUAUGUGGAUUCAUGGAAACCAGUUAGCAGAGAUGCCAUUCAUUGGGACCCGCCAGAUGUAUAGGUGUCAAGGGAUGUGCCGUCGGCUUCUAACUGCCGUUGAAUAUGUAUGCGCCUUGGCUCAGUCGAUACACCCUUCCCAUGGCUUGCAUAACUCAUUAAGACCCUAGGCCACCACGAACCUUACUAUGCAAUGUUUAAUUUCCUCUUUUAGCCGGACCAAUGUACUCCGCUGGGAACGAAAAUCCAGGUUUGCCUCCAAAACAGUCAAAAGGAAUGUUAGGACUGGCCCUACAAGAAAACUAGGAUUCCCGGAGACAGUCGCAGGCGCUCCCUUGCCGUUAACACCCUGUCCCCUUGGCUCCAUACCGAUUGAACUGCCGAUCUUACUCCUGAGCGUUGAAGCAAUUGUUGGAGACUGCCCCAUCCUAGCAGAGCCUUCGCAUACAACCUACCACCAACCACCACUGCCGAAGCCUUUCUCCCUCUCACUGAAAAAGGAUCACCAUACCGAACAAUUGAAAGUCAUCAUGAAUGAAACUUACGAGCAUACAAACCUCUAUGCCUAGCGCUGAAGGACGAUUCGAAAAAAGUUGAGAACUUUUGCAGCUCAAGAAUACUUCUCCAACCGUUACCUUAUCGGCCUUCUGGUAUAACAAUGAAGCCUCGAUGCCCACCAUUGCCAUAUAUCGCCAGAGCCAGAAAACAGUCGUCACUAUUGGAACUUCUCUGUGCAAUGAAAGCUGUAUUGCCAGCCCUUGAGGAUUUCAGGAAUUCCUUCAAUCGUUUCCCUAGAAUCAAAGCCUCCCAGUAGUCAACAGCCAUGCCACACUUGCCUUUCCCAAAUGAACUACUCAAGAAACACCCCUACUCCUUUCAGUGAUCUUAAAACUGAAAUCCCUUCCUCUACUGAAGGCUCAAACGAAAAAACUGCUUGAAUAUCCCAUCACUGAAAAACCAGAUAACCGGUGCUGGAAAACCAACAGACAGGAAAGACACAUCAGAAUGCGCCUACCCGCGCCGAUGGGAGACGCUAGGGAGAGAUAUAUCUAACUUUAUCUGGAGGAAGAUGAUCCAGCUUUAUUAUGUAUCUGCCAUUAAUUGAUUGUGAUUCAUACAGUAUAUAGCUCAAAGUUGGUUUGGAUUCUUAUUAAGAUGGUAGUGCUCUGAACUGAUCAUAAGACGCUGGGUAAGUGGGAAAAGGGAGUAUUUCUUUGAGGGAAAAAGAAAAUCCAUGGAGAAGUUAACUGAUAGAAUGAUUCUCGGCAGAAAUUACUUGUCUGUUGGAGCAACAUUUGGAAAGUGGGUAUACUUGUGUUAUGAGAAGAAGUGGUUCACGGUUGCAGUUUGAUCUGAGAAAGUGGUCAGUCAACUGCUUUUUUAAUUUGUGGUAGAGAUUCAUUCCCAUACCAAAAUUUAGAAAGAUAGACAAUGAAUUAUUAAUAACCUUAAAUGGCAAGAACAUUUCAACUGAUCUGGACUAUAAGGUAUUUGGGAUUAAGAGGUUAGAGGAUUUGAAAAUGUUUACGUUGGAACGAGUUCAUUAGCGCUUAAUACCAUUCAAAUUCUACAUAUAUACAUGAAGGCAGACCUGAUUUGUGUUACUAGUAUGACUGUUUGCAGGUAUACUGUAUAUUCAACACGUUCCAUGAAGUUGCUCCUGAAAUCCAUUGCCAUUGCCAGCCCAGGUAUGUACGGGGUGGCGUUGGGGGAUGCUGUUAAGAGAGAGAGUUUUGUGCUAAUUAUCAAUUUCUUUGUACAUUUCUUUUGGGGAAACGAUUGGCUCUUAGAACAAUGUGAUGAAGUCAGUGAAAUGAACAAAUAUAGGGUGUCUCAAGCAAUGCAUUGUUCGACUA